Molecule: ribosomal RNA, 497 nt
Filed under: uncultured bacterium
Lineage: Bacteria
Description: partial 16S ribosomal RNA
Rfam family: Bacterial small subunit ribosomal RNA
Source: RNAcentral
GAUGAACGCUGGCGGCGUGCCUAAUACAUGCAAGUCGAGCGAACAGACGAGGAGCUUGCUCCUUUGACGUUAGCGGCGGACGGGUGAGUAACACGUGGGUAACCUACCUAUAAGACUGGGAUAACUUCGGGAAACCGGAGCUAAUACCGGAUAAUAUUUCGAACCGCAUGGUUCGAUAGUGAAAGAUGGCUUUGCUAUCACUUAUAGAUGGACCUGCGCCGUAUUAGCUAGUUGGUAAGGUAACGGUUUACCAAGGCAACGAUACGUAGCCGACCGGGGAGGGUGAUCGGCCACACUGGAACUGAGACACGGUCCAGACUCCUACGGGAGGCAGCAGAAGGGAAUCUUCCGCAAAGGGCGAAAGCCUGACGGAGCAACGCCGCGUGAGUGAUGAAGGUCUUCGGAUCGUAAAACUCUGUUAUUAGGGAAGAACAAACGUGUAAGUAACUGUGCACGUCUUGACGGUACCUAAUCAGAAAGCCACGGCUAACUACGUG